GGAUGUGAAGGCGAUCUGGCUGCGACAUCUGUCACCCCAUUGAUCGCCAGGGUUGAUUUGGCUGAUCUGGCUGGCUAGGCGGGUGUCCCCUUCCUCCCUCACUGCUCCAUGUGCGUCCCUCCCGAAGCUGCGCACUGGGUGGAAGAGGACGACCAUCCCCGGUAGAGGAGGACCGUUCUUCGGUCAAGGGUAUACGGGUAACUGCGCUCCCCUGCUAGAACCUCCAAACAAACUCUCAAGGUCCAAAUAGCUGGGAGCAAAAGCCACUACACUUAGGGAAGAGACCUAAGACUCCUUUU
This 299-nucleotide small nuclear RNA is filed under the name Castor canadensis (American beaver). RNAcentral describes it as "7SK RNA (ENSCCNG00000012397.1)". It matches the Rfam family "7SK RNA". Rfam says of the family: 7SK was discovered as an abundant small nuclear RNA in the mid-70s but a possible function has only recently been suggested. Two independent studies have found that 7SK RNA binds the CDK9/cyclin T complex (known as elongation factor P-TEFb). The record is from Rfam by way of RNAcentral. Lineage: Eukaryota; Metazoa; Chordata; Mammalia; Rodentia; Castoridae.